CAGCUAGUUGGUGGAGUAAUGGUCUACCAAGGCGACGAUCGGUAGCUGGUCUGAGAGAAUGAUCAGCCACACUGGGAUUGAGAACGGCCCAGACUCCUACGGGGGGCAGCAGUGAGGAAUUUUCGUCAAUGGGGGCAACCCUGAACGAGCAACGCCGCGUGCAGGAUGACGCUUUUCGGAGUGUAAACUGCUUUUCUCGGGGACGAGUAAGGACGGUACCCGAGGAAUCAGCCCCGGCUAACUACGUGCCAGCAGCCGCGGUAAUACGUAGGGGGCGAGCGUUGUCCGGAGUUACUGGGCGUAAAGCGCACGCAGGCGGUCUGGUAAGUUUGGAGUGACAAUUCUCGGCUUAACUGAGAAGGGUCUUCGAAGACUGCCAGACUUGAGGGCUUACGAGGGACACGGAAUUCCGGGUGGAGUGGUGAAAUGCGUAGAGAUCCGGAGGAACACCAAAGGCGAAGGCAGUGUCCUGGGAAGUACCUGACGCUCAGGUGCGAAAGCUAGGGGAGCGAACGGGAUUAGAUACCCCGGUAGUCCUAGCCGUAAACGAUGACCACUAGGCGUGGGGGGUAUCGACCCCUUCCGUGCCGUAGCUAACGUGAUAAGUGGUCCGCCUGGGGAGUACGGUCGCAAGAUUAAAA
RNAcentral lists this ribosomal RNA (641 nucleotides) under uncultured bacterium. Its description in RNAcentral is "SSU rRNA". It matches the Rfam family "Bacterial small subunit ribosomal RNA", at positions 242 to 899 of the family's 1533-position model. The record is from RNAcentral.